RNAcentral lists this ribosomal RNA (230 nucleotides) under uncultured bacterium. RNAcentral's name for it is "partial 16S ribosomal RNA". It matches the Rfam family "Bacterial small subunit ribosomal RNA", at positions 17 to 236 of the family's 1533-position model. The record is from RNAcentral.
AUCCGGCUCAGGAUGAACGCUAGCUACAGGCUUAACACAUGCAAGUCGAGGGGAAACGACAUCGAAAGCUUGCUUUUGAUGGGCGUCGACCGGCGCACGGGUGAGUAACGCGUAUCCAACCUGCCCACCACUUGGGGAUAACCUUGCGAAAGUAAGACUAAUACCCAAUGAUAUCUCUAGAAGACAUCUGAAAGAGAUUAAAGAUUCAUCGGUGAUGGAUGGGGAUGCGU